CCGCCCCCACAUAUCCCCAUGUGUGUAGAACAUUAUGGUGCCCUGCAUUUGCAUAUUAAAAGGCUAGGGUGGGAGGGCCAGUUUUUUCUGCAGGCUACGUGAGUGACAUGCCUGGUGGAACCAAUCCCCUGAGCCCUAUGCAAAUCAGACAUCACCUCCUCCAGCCUAUUCGUAUAAGCAGCCACUUUUCCAUGGCACAGGGGGUCUCCUCUCUUGGCUUUGGAGCUCCCCAUUCCUCUGUGUCUGUACAGGGGAGCUUCUUCCUUCUUUCUUCUCCCUUCUUUCUUGCCUAUUAAACUCUCUGCUUCUUAAAACCACUCCAUGUAUGUCCAGGUCAUUUUAUCUAAUUUGGAGACGGAGAACCCUGGUGUUCCUCUGCUCAUCAGAGCCGUCUCACCUGCAAGGGCCAGGAUCCAGCACUAGGGCUGCCCUUUAUGUUCAUGCAGCCUCCACUAGGGAGACCCUCCUCAGCUGCCACCUGCUGUAAAGGGAUCUAUCUAUCUAUCUAUCUAUCUAUCUAUCUAUCUAUCUUUCUAUCUACCUGUUGAGAAAGAGAGAGGUUUAUUAUAAAGAAUUGACUCAUGUGAUUAUGGAGGCUGAGAAGUUCCACAGUCUGCUGUCUGCAAGCUGGAGACCGAGGAAGGCUGCUGGUGCCGUUCCAGUUUGAUUCUGAAGGCCUGAGAACCAGAACUGAUGCCCACUCAACAUGAAGAUGACAAGGAUGAAGACCUUUAUGGUGAUCCACUCCCGCUUACUGAAUAGGUCUCACUCUGUCACCCAGACGGGUGUGCAGUGGCAUGAUCAUGGCUCACUGCAGCCUUGAUUCCAAGGGUGAAGUGAUCUUUCCACCUCAGCAUCCCAAGUAGCUGGGACUACAGGAUGAAGCUUCUUGGUGAUGUAACAGUCUGUGGAAACUCCCACAGGACAAAUGCAGAAAGGAAGGACGUAGAUCACUGGAUGGUCAACGUUGCCCCUUGCACAGCAGCAAAGGCCUAUACAAAUUUUUUGAGUAGCUGUAUCUAGUUGUUCAGCUACUGGGAAUAACUCGUAAAAUCCCCUGGAUAGUCAACAGCAUUGGGGCUUGCUUUGUAAACAGAGACCUGACCUACUUAAUUCUUCCCAGAGGUUGGAAAAAGAGGCUUGACUCACACAGACAUGAAACCUUGGCUUAAUUGAACACUAAUUACUCAUAAGAGAUCUGUUUACCCAAACUUCCCCUAGACCAAGCUCAGUAUAAAAUGAGAGGAUGCAUAAAGAAGCAAGAUAUUUAGAGGAAAAUGUCACAAAUACAUUUAUCAGUCCCAAAAGUCCUUUUUUUCCCCCAGAAGUGAUGUUGCUAAUUGCACAAAAAUAAACAAUACAGGGGUUGAUAAAUUCCACAUUUAAGGACUGAGAAUAGUGUCCCUACAUUUCUAAGAAGCUGUAUAUUUGGAAAUGAAUACAAUUGAAAGUAAGGAUAAUUGGCAUUCUAAAGCCAAUUGGAUAACUUGAAUGAACAAGCAGAAUUUACCAUAUUUUGAUAUGUUUCUUUUUGAUUAAAGUAUCUGUAAAGGAAACAAAUUAUUGUAUUGCUAUAGAUUUUAUUACUGAACAAGAAAAAAAGGCCUGAUGUUGUGCAUUUCCUUUUGGCCUUUGGUCUUGGCUGAUAUUGGGCAUCCAAUGAGCUUCUUUGUCUUGAAUGAAGACUUAAGAGGGAGUGAAAAGUAGGAAGAGCAUCAAAACUUCUUUGCAGGAUGUAAUCGAACCACCUACUACUUAUUGUCUUACGAUCCAUUUAUUCAACAAAUGGAACAUCUCAAUUGCUUGAUGCUAUUACAGACACUAGGUAUAGUCUUAGAAAAACAAAUUGCUGUUUUUAUAUAGCUUGUGUUAUGGUUGAUGUAGUACAGUCAAAAUUAUUUAAAUAAAGGAAGAUGUGAGGAAGACUUUGAACUUAGAAAUCUGGGUUCUCAUCCAAGCUUUGCUGCUAGCUUGUUGGGGGAACCUUGGGUGAUGAGUUGGUUGACUCCUUCCAGAUCUCAGCGUUCAUCCAUCAAGUGAGGGAACUUGACCAGAUAUUCAAUAAUGGCCCUUCCGGCCCCAUCUCUAUAUGAAAGGGAAACCACAGUAUGGGCCCAUGGGGAAGAUCAUGGACUUUGGAGUAAAACAUUUCUGGCUUGGUCAAUUAUUUAAUCUCUUGAUCCCAAUCAAUUCAUGUAACUACUCUGACCCUCAGUUUCCUUGCUGCAAAAUGAGAUACUAAUAUUUGCUCAAAUAAGAUAACAGGCAAAACAAUCAUGAGGGCUCCUGGCACACCACUGUGCAUGGCU
Molecule: long non-coding RNA, 2309 nt
Organism: Pan troglodytes (chimpanzee)
Lineage: Eukaryota; Metazoa; Chordata; Mammalia; Primates; Hominidae
Exons: 4
Source: RefSeq, a predicted model, not a curated record